GUAGACUGCAGACCUUCGGCGAUUUCCCAGACACUGGCUAGAGAUCAUUCCAAAACCUCAAAAGUUACUCUAUUGCCACAGCUACUUUCUAAGCAGUGCAACCAUUUGCCAGUCUUUGCAGAAUAAAGGAGGCGACACAUCUGGAAAUACCCCUUUCCUACAAAUAUUUUCCCUAAAAAGUAGCUAACAAAGUACACUCUGAUUUUUGCAGUUUUUUAAAAUCAGGCAUCUCAUAUAGUGUCAUCAUAAACUGAAACAUAAUGCUGAUUAUGGACAGUUGCUUACAUAGGACACCAUUCCUCGGGAAAAAUUGGAGCUGAUCUUUACCAUCAACUUUAAAUGGCCUUCUUAAGAUUUGAUCAACCUAGAAAUUCUUCCAGUAGAGCUAUGUCUUUAAUUAUUCCUAAUGUUAGAAUUAAAUAUUAUAAGAAUCAUUCAUAGUGUUUCAUUCAUUCAUCAUGUUUGUUGCUCAUCUACUAUGAGCUAGGCAUUGUACCUGUCAUUGAUAAGGAGGUGAGAAUAAGGCCCUGCCUUUGUGACAAUAUAGUCUAGUGAGGAAGGGAGACACUGAAUAAGUUAUGAGUGAAGAUGGGACCAAAUGUGGGCUAAUGGGGUCAGAAAAAGUCUUCAUUAGGACAUGACAGGGGAAAUGUAAGUAAGUAAAGGAUAAGACCAUUUCAGGCAGAGGAAGGAGCAUUGUGAGGCCCUGAAGCAAGCAAAGAUAGUGUACUUGAAGAACUGAAAAACACCCAGUGUGGCUAGAAAAUAGAAAGGGAAAUGUGGUGCAAAUGAGACUGGAAAGAUGAUGCCUGGUACUGCUGCAGCAGCCAUUUUGUGACCAUGGGGAAGGACAUUGCUUAUGCUCUAAGAAUGGCACAAUGGAAUAGAGAAAGCACGUGCCUAUGAUGACAUCACAGAGCUCCUGAACCAACCCUGGGACUACUCAGCCUGCAUAAUUCUUGUUUGCCAAUGCAGAGGACAGAAGACCCUGCAGACGAAGACAGAGAGUAUCCUGAUGAUAUGGAGUAUCUCCUGGGUCCAGCCAUACCUGAAGCCUCUUUCCCUGCUCUUUUCAAUCACAGUGAACUAAUAAAUUCCCCUGGUUGCUUUAG
This is a non-coding RNA of Microcebus murinus (gray mouse lemur), 1112 nucleotides long. NCBI's taxonomy places the organism in Eukaryota, Metazoa, Chordata, Mammalia, Primates, Cheirogaleidae. The record is from RefSeq and is a predicted model, not a curated record.